CCCUUAGAUGUUCUGGGCCGCACGCGCGCUACACUGACGAAGUCAGCGAGCAUGUCCUACGCCGACAGGUGCGGGGAAUCUUGUCAAACUUCGUCGUGAUGGGGAUUGAUUAUUGAAAUUCUUGAUCAUCAACGAGGAAUUCCUAGUAAGCGCAAGUCAGCAGCUUGCGUUGAUUACGUCCCUGCCCUUUGUACACACCGCCCGUCGCUACUACCGAUUGAAUGGUUUAGUGAGAUCUUCGGAUUGGCGCCACGGCGGCUCAGCAAUGGGCUCGGUGGAUGCCGAAAAGUUGAUCAAACUUGAUCAUUUAGAGGAAGUAAAAGUCGUAACA
RNAcentral lists this ribosomal RNA (331 nucleotides) under uncultured eukaryote. RNAcentral's name for it is "partial 18S ribosomal RNA". It matches the Rfam family "Eukaryotic small subunit ribosomal RNA", at positions 1470 to 1796 of the family's 1831-position model. The record is from RNAcentral.